GACGAACGCUGGCGGCGUGCUUAACACAUGCAAGUCGAACGGAAAGGCCCUGCCUUUGUGGGGUGCUCGAGUGGCGAACGGGUGAGUAACAGGUGAGUAACCUGCCCUAGACUUUGGGAUAACUUCAGGAAACUGGGGCUAAUACCGGAUAGGAGCUCCUGCUGCUUGGUGGGGGUUGGAAAGUUUCGGCGGUUGGGGAUGGACUCGCGGCUUAUCAGCCUGUUGGUGGGGUAGUGGCUUACCAAGGCUUUGACGGGUAGCCGGCCUGAGAGGGUGACCGGCCACAUUGGGACUGAGAUGCGGCCCAGACUCCUACGGGGGGAAGCAGUGGGGGUUAGUGCACGAUGGGCGGAGUCCGGAAGCAGCAACGCCGCGUGCGGGAUGACGGCCGUCGGGUUGUAAACCGCGUUCGCCUGUGACGAAGCGUGUGUGACGGUAAUGGGUAAAGAAGCACCGGCUAACUACGUG
This 468-nucleotide ribosomal RNA is filed under the name uncultured bacterium. Its description in RNAcentral is "partial 16S ribosomal RNA". It matches the Rfam family "Bacterial small subunit ribosomal RNA", at positions 28 to 507 of the family's 1533-position model. The record is from RNAcentral.